GAAUAUAGUGGUUUGUAAACUAAAUUUAUUAGAUAUUUAAUUUUGAGAAACUCUUACUAAUGUAUUAAUUAAACAUGAAUUAGGAUUGAUGAGAGUAUGAAAAUGGCUCCCAUAAGAAUGAGGUGUUACUCAAAUUCUGAAAAUUAUUUCCUAGCCGUAUAAAAAUUUAUAAUUUAAAAGAGACAAAAAUACCAAAAAUAGACAAAUUUGACCACCAAAAUAAUAAAUUACGUUUAAUUAUCGGAGUAAUCGUAAAUCAUUGGAAUAAAUAUAUGAAACAAUAAAAAGAAUAGUAAAAAAUAUCUUUCAGCAAACUUGUAAACUCAAUUGGUUCAAUUUUCACCCUCUUAGAUAUCCUGGUCCUUUAUAUUCCAAAUGAUACGUAUUUAAUAUGCCAAAUAAAUAGUAAAUAAUGAUCAUUUUGUUACACUAUCUAUAUUUUAUUUAUGUUUUGUCCGUAUCCAGUUACCAAUUUUUUUUUCUGACCAUCGUGAAUGGUUGUGUUUGAAGCGAUUGAGUCCUGCAUUAAUAAAAGCGCGUAUUAAUUAAUAAAUGAUUAAUUAAUUUAGUACUACUACUAUUACUACUAUGACCUAAUACCACGUAAACUAUUGCCAAACUGUAAAUGUUAGUUUUAAAUUAAUUGUUAGGAGCGGUCGAUUAUUUAUUUACGUUGUAGCAAAUGUACUAUUGUUAUAAUAAUUAUUAAUUUAAUAAUGAGAAAAAAAGUGCAAGAAAAACACAAAAAAGGCAAACAAACACAAUACACCCACACCCUGUAUAGCGAUCGAGUACCUCUGUAAGUUAGUAAAAAAAAUCAAAGCGAGUUGUCAAUGUUGUAAAUAUGAUGAUGGAUUAAAUCACAUUUAUAGAUACAAAUAAUAUUUCCUUUGAAGAAUAAUUUUCCUCCCAAUUACUAUCAUUUUAAUUUAAUUUUGUUAGUAUUGGACUUUCACAUACUUUUUAAAAAUGCAUUAACUUGCUUAUCUUUAUUAUUAAUGAAAUUAUGGGUAUUUCAAGUACUUACAAAUCAUUUUUAUAUUAUUUCUGCUUAAUUUCUUAUCCCAUGAAUUUCCUUAUACAAAAAAAAAGAAGUAAAUUUUGUACUGGAUGGAUCCUUUGAGGUCAUGAAUGCGAAGAAGGGUGAGUUUAUUUUAUUUGUUUAUUUAAGUUUUGAGUGUGCUUUUCUUUAUUAUUUUAAAAUAGACGGAAAAACUAUUUAUUAAUCUGUAUUUCAGUAAUUAGAAUAUUUAUUUUAAUUUCACAUAAACUAAGUUUACAAGAGAAUUGUAUUAAAGAAUUAAAUGAGAAGUAUACUAUCCUAUUAUGCUACUGAUAUUUAGAAAAUGUUAAGAAACCAUAAUCAUAUUCAUUUACAAAAAAUUGUGGAGGCGCAGAACAUGAACAAAGUAUUUAUUAAAGAAAUGGAUGGAAAUAUAUUUUCGAAUAGUAAAGAUGCGCGGUAUAUCCCUGAAAUAAAUCCGCAAGAUAGUGGCGCUAUUACCGCUAAUCAUAGUUUUACAAACAAAUAGUUGUAGAGUUAAAUAUCUCUUUUAUAACCAUACCUACAAAAGAUAAAUAGCAUUAAUAUACGCUACAUUCCGUUGUUAAUAAUUGAUAAUGAGAAACUAAUUUUGUAGUUAGUGUUAGUGUAGAAUCAAUUUUUAUUUCUGUAGUGGCAGCCUAUGGUAAAGUGUAUGUCUCAUCUAUAGGGUGUGUGCAUAACCAUAGACCAUAGAUAUACAUACGUAACCUUAUCUAUGGUGCAAGCAUGGUGUCAUAUCUAUAGUGUCUUAUGUAUGAUCUAUCUACGUGCAUGAUGGUGUUAUUCUGUAUAUCUAUUAUCUAUGAUUGUGUCACGACAUGUUAUAAUGGCGCUGUGUUGAUAUAAUAAUUGAAGGUUGACAUAAUUUUAUGCGCGUUAUAUAUUGAACCAUAAUAGCUGAAAGUAAAUUAACAGAACAUUAAGACAGUCAGGGCUUCAAUUGAAGAUUAAGCAAUCGUUAAUAGAAUAGACAGUUUAAACCACCUACUGUGAUGGAUCAAGGGCAAUGGUGCUUCUAUGACAACAACAAAUAAUCUGUGGCCCAUAUCCUUGUCCUCCAUUUUUUGUUCUAUUUUUCAACUUAAAUAAUUCUGCAAUUAUUCAGUUUCAGACUUUCACAUGGACGAUUUUGUAGUCAAUUAAGAGUGGUCAACAAGUGAGAGAACAUUGAAGCUGAAUUUCAUUCCUACUUUGUUUGCUGUGGACCUUUACUCAGUUGAUUUUUGGCAAAGAAAUUCUCUACAACAUCAUCGUUCUUCUAGUAUUUGGUCUGCUUUUCACACUUCCAACUUUCUACAGCUAAUUAAGAUCGACGGUGGAGAAGACAAAGAAGAUCCCAAAGUUAAA
Long non-coding RNA from Agrilus planipennis (emerald ash borer), 2392 nucleotides. RefSeq lists it as uncharacterized. The transcript is spliced from 4 exons. The record is from RefSeq and is a predicted model, not a curated record. Lineage: Eukaryota; Metazoa; Arthropoda; Insecta; Coleoptera; Buprestidae.